UACGUAGGGUGCGAGCGUUAAUCGGAAUUACUGGGCGUAAAGCGCACGCAGGUGGCUGAGUCAGUCGAUUGUGAAAGCCCUGGGCUUAACCUGGGAAUUGCAGUCGAUACUACUCAGCUCGAGUAUGGGAGAGGGCAGUGGAAUUCCCGGUGUAGCGGUGAAAUGCGUAGAUAUCGGGAGGAACAUCAGUGGCGAAGGCGGCUGCCUGGCCCAAUACUGACACUCAGGUGCGACAGCGUGGGGAACAAACAGG
This 253-nucleotide ribosomal RNA is filed under the name uncultured bacterium. Its description in RNAcentral is "partial 16S ribosomal RNA". It matches the Rfam family "Bacterial small subunit ribosomal RNA", at positions 524 to 776 of the family's 1533-position model. The record is from RNAcentral.